AGUCGAGAAUCUUCCGCAAUGCGCGAAAGCGUGACGGAGCAAUACCGAGUGUGUGAUGAAGGUCUUCGGAUUGUAAAGCACUGUCAACAGGGACGAAUAUUGACGGUACCUGUAGAGGAAGCACCGGCUAAUUACGUGCCAGCAGCCGCGGUAAUACGUAAGGUGCAAGCGUUAUCCGGAUUCAUUGGGCGUAAAGGGUCCGCAGGGGGUUUAUCAAGUCUGAUGUGAAAUCCAACGGCUCAACCGUUGAACUGCAUUGGAAACUAUUAAACUAGAGUACUAUAGAGGUAAGCGGAAUUCCUGGUGUAGCGGUGGAAUGCGUAGAUAUCAGGAGGAACACCAAUAGCGAAGGCAGCUUACUGGGUAGUUACUGACCCUCAGGGACGAAAGCGUGGGUAGCGAA
This 403-nucleotide ribosomal RNA is filed under the name uncultured Oligosphaeria bacterium. RNAcentral describes it as "bacterial SSU rRNA". It matches the Rfam family "Bacterial small subunit ribosomal RNA", at positions 353 to 772 of the family's 1533-position model. The record is from RNAcentral. Lineage: Bacteria; Pseudomonadati; Lentisphaerota; Oligosphaeria.